RNAcentral lists this ribosomal RNA (253 nucleotides) under uncultured bacterium. RNAcentral describes it as "partial 16S ribosomal RNA". It matches the Rfam family "Bacterial small subunit ribosomal RNA", at positions 524 to 776 of the family's 1533-position model. The record is from RNAcentral.
UACGGGGGGGGCAAGCGUUGUUCGGAAUUACUGGGCGUAAAGGGCUCGUAGGCGGCCAACUAAGUCAGACGUGAAAUCCCUCGGCUUAACCGGGGAACUGCGUCUGAUACUGGUUGGCUUGAAUCCGGGAGAGGGAUGUGGAAUUCCAGGUGUAGCGGUGAAAUGCGUAGAUAUCAAGAGGAACACCUGAGGUGAAGACGGGUUGCUGGGCUGACACUGACGCUGAGGCGCGAAAGCCAGGGGAGCAAACGGG